Molecule: transfer RNA, 54 nt
Filed under: Rupirana cardosoi
Lineage: Eukaryota; Metazoa; Chordata; Amphibia; Anura; Leptodactylidae
Description: partial tRNA-Val
Source: RNAcentral
CAAAAGCAUCUCGCUUACACCGAAAAGAUAUCUGUGAAAUCCAGAUUAUUUCGA